Molecule: long non-coding RNA, 2131 nt
Organism: Vicia villosa (hairy vetch)
Lineage: Eukaryota; Viridiplantae; Streptophyta; Magnoliopsida; Fabales; Fabaceae
Exons: 7
Source: RefSeq, a predicted model, not a curated record
AGUAUAUUUUUAGACAAAAAAAAAAAAUUGAAACAUCUUUUCUCUUCAUCAGGAGUCGAGCGCAAUGUCUUUUUUCUUUUCCCAAAAUCACACAUCCAGACACCUUAUCUUCUUCUUCUUCUUCUUCUUCUUCUUCUUCUUCUUCUUCUUCUUCCUCCCCCUCGUUCAUAUUUAUUCUUCCUCCUUCACCAUUCUUCCUUUUAUUUACUCCAAACUCACCUCACAAACUCACCAUCCCAUAACUCUCCAUCAUUCAUUCGCAGAACACCUUCCUAACAAAAUAGAUUGAACCCUAAACAUAUUUUUCUCUCCAUUGUUCAAUGUCUUUCAUCACUCACUUGAAAUCGUAGAGUUUUAAUUUAUAAUAGCACUACAAUUUUAGAACCAAAAUCAAUUAAUUUGUUUCUAUAAAACGAUUGAAUCCCCCAAACUCAUCUGAAUGAGUGUUUCUACUUUCUAUGAUAAAAAAUUAGAAGGGAAAGCUUAUGGGUAUAAUUAUUUUAUUUUCCCCUUUCGUGUUAUAUGAAUAAAGGUUAUGUAAGUUAGUAUUCUUAUACUUUUACAAGGUAUGAUGUUUGAGGUUCUUUUUGUGUUUGAUUUAGUAGGUCGUGAGAAGGUUGGGUUUGGAGGGAGGGAAACCCGUGAGGCCAAUGCCAUUCCCAGAUCUAAUUUCCACGCUUUCCAAGAAUUUUCCUCUGUCUGAUAUUGUUUUCAUUGUAAGUGCUUUUGACCUGCUUAUGGAGUUUGAGACUGUCAUUGAGUCACUUGUUUCUCUCUUUGUUGAAAUACAAAUACUGUUUGCUUUAAUCACCGUUUAACUAUGGGAUGUUGUGGAGUAUGCUGAAUGUGAAACUACUGUAAAGGAAUUUCCUUCAAUAUAAAAAUGAAGUUGUUUCAAAUAUAUGUCUUAAAACUACUUGUUCAAUUAGCAUUGUCAUAGUUAUGAACUUUCUAGUGUCAUGCUAUUUUUGUAGUUCUGUCAUCAAAUACUAUUGUGAAACAAUUAAAAGCUUUUUUACCUUAACAUGUAUAAAUGUGUUUCAUACUUAUGUUUUCUCAAGUAUUCGGAGUUAAUAAGGUUGGAGAUGUUGUUUUUUGUACCUUGCAAUAUUUAUCCUUUGUAUUAUUCAAUCCAGAAGCAAUAGUAAUAUAGGUACAGGCGUAUAGGGGUGGACAAAACAUUACCAUCUGAUUAGAACCGACCGGUCCGAAAUCAAUUUUCAGUCACGGAUCGGAUUGUUUCGGUUUUCGGGUUACUGCGGUCUAAAUGUUUGGAUUUCAGCGGUUUAACUUGGUCGGGCUCGGUUGAUAAAAUCUAAUCCGUCGGAAUCCGAUCCGAACCGAUUAAAUUAUAUACUAAUAGCUAUUAUAAUUUUGGACCAUAGAAAUUAAGCCCAAAUAAAAAUCCAUAUAGAUGUUCAGAAGUUUAGGGUUUCUCAUUCUCACUUCCUUGUUUCUAUCCUCUCUGUGAUUUAGGUUUUUCGCCGCCGCCGCCGUCGUACUAUGAGCAUCCAUAUCUUCCCGUUCCAUAUUCUUGGUGUUACUACAUAAAUGUUAAAGUAUAACUCUGUUCAUGGUGGAAGCAUUUUGAAUUCAAGGUUAAGGGUGGUGCCAUGAAAGUUGUUAUUCAACAUCAUUCCUAGCAGAACUAGAGCUUCCAAGGUUAAGAGAGUUCAGAGAUUGAAGGUUUGUAUUUGUUACAGGAGUGGUAAAGAGAAACUUCUAAUUUUGAAGCUAAAGUGAAACUUCCCUUGAAAAGUCAGAUUUUAAGAGAACUUUUUGCAAAUAAAGCAUUGGAGGUUUGUUGUAGAGUGAAGGAUAUGAAAUAAUUCAAGGAAAUUGGUGGAUACACAUAUUUAGAUCACUUAUAAUUUGUAUUGGUCAAGACAUUAUAAAUGGGAAAAUCAAGAAAUGAUCUUUUGACAACAUCAAAUGAUAUGCUAGGAUCCUGUUCUGAAAUGGAAAAGAAAUUGUCACAGUUAGAUGAAGCAUUAAGAGAACCCAAACAUUGGACUGAAUAAAUAGUGUUAUUUAGAUUUGAUAAACAUUUUUAUUUGUCUAAUUUUUGAAUAAUAAAAGGUAGAUAACUUUGUUUUUCAGUGAAAGAAUUAAAUAUAAUAGUUUAAUCAAA